GUUUCAUCAAUCAUGAAGAUGGAAAACCCUUUUAAAGAGGUUGUCCCCCCAAAACAAUAUUCUACAUAUUUCUAACAAGCACUUGGAUCUGAAUACUUUUGUAAUUGCAUGUAAUUAAAAAUUUAGUAUAGCCACUGAGUUAUUCAAUAAAUUGUAAUCUGUAUAGCGCCAC
This is a long non-coding RNA of Bufo bufo (common toad), 172 nucleotides long. RefSeq lists it as uncharacterized. The transcript has 3 exons. The record is from RefSeq and is a predicted model, not a curated record. NCBI's taxonomy places the organism in Eukaryota, Metazoa, Chordata, Amphibia, Anura, Bufonidae.